CUUUCUGUUCUUCCACAGCUUUCUUGAACUGCUGCAUGGUUCAAUCUUGAUCUAUUGGAUCUGUGUUUGUGUUUUUGGUUUUGGUUUGAUCAAUCUUUGCAGUUCAAUAAAGCUGUGGGAAGAUAGAGACA
RNAcentral lists this microRNA precursor (131 nucleotides) under Helianthus annuus (common sunflower). RNAcentral describes it as "microRNA MIR396". It matches the Rfam family "MIR396 microRNA precursor family". The record is from RNAcentral. Lineage: Eukaryota; Viridiplantae; Streptophyta; Magnoliopsida; Asterales; Asteraceae.